Molecule: ribosomal RNA, 405 nt
Filed under: uncultured bacterium
Lineage: Bacteria
Description: partial 16S ribosomal RNA
Rfam family: Bacterial small subunit ribosomal RNA
Source: RNAcentral
GAUGAACGCUAGCUAUAGGCUUAACACAUGCAAGUCGAGGGACCGGCGCACGGGUGAGUAACGCGUAUCCAACCUGCCCAUAACUAAGGGAUAACCCAGCGAAAGUUGGACUAAUACCUUAUGGUUAUGGAUGGGGAUGCGUCUGAUUAGCUUGUUGGCGGGGUAACGGCCCACCAAGGCAACGAUCAGUAGGGGUUCUGAGAGGGGGACCAUGCACACUGGAACUGAGAAACGGGCCAGACUCCUACGGGAGGCAGCAGUGGGGAAUAGUGCACAAUGGGCGCAAGCCUGAUGCAGCCAUGCCGCGUGUGUGAAGAAGGCUGCGGGUUGUAAAGCACUUUCAGCGGGGAGCGUUACCCGCAGAAGAAGCACCGGCUAACUCCGUGCCAGCAGCCGCGGGAAUAC